This 613-nucleotide ribosomal RNA is filed under the name uncultured marine bacterium. RNAcentral describes it as "bacterial SSU rRNA". It matches the Rfam family "Bacterial small subunit ribosomal RNA", at positions 94 to 741 of the family's 1533-position model. The record is from RNAcentral.
AGUGGCAGACGGCUCUAUUAACGCGUGGGUAUCUACCUAGAGGUUUGGAACAACUAUUGGAAACGAUAGCUAAUACCAAAUAUUCCCUACGGGGGAAAGAUUUAUCGCCUUUAGAUGAGCCCGCGUCGGAUUAGCUUGUUGGUAGGGUAAAGGCCUACCAAGGCUACGAUCCGUAGCUGGUCUGAGAGGAUGAUCAGCAAGAUUGGGACUGAGACACGGCCCAGACUCCUACGGGAGGCAGCAGUGGGGAAUAUUGCGCAAUGGGGGAAACCCUGACGCAGCGAUGCCGCGUGAGUGAAGAAGGCCCUAGGGUUGUAAAACUCUUUCACCGGUGAAGAUAAUGACGGUAGCCGGAGAAGAAGCCCCGGCUAACUCCGUGCCAGCAGCCGCGGUAAUACGGAGGGGGCUAACGUUGUUCGGAAUUACUGGGCGUAAAGCGCGCGUAGGCGGAUUAGACAGUUGAGGGUGAAAUCCCGGAGCUUAACUCCGGAACUGCCUUCAAUACUACUAAUCUUGAGUUCGGAAGAGGUGAGUGGAAUUCCUAGUGUAGAGGUGAAAUUCGUUGAUAUUAGGAAGAACAUCAGUGGCGAAGGCGACUCACUGGUCCGAUACU